AAUAGAUUUUUCAUAUUUAAUUCAUACAGCACUUUUAUUUUUAUAUAACAGAGAAUAUAAUUAUUUAAUUUAUAAAGAAUAGUAUAUAAUUUUUAUUUUCUUUUUUUAUAAUAAAAGUUUAGUUAACAUUGAUUUAUAACAAUAUUAUAUUACUAAUUACAAAAUUAAAUAAUAUGAUAUUUUAUAAAAAUAUUUAAAAUUUUCAGUAAGAUUUUCGUAGAUUCUUUUUCUCAACAGAUAUUGUUAUAAUAGAAAAAAUUAAAUUUAUAGUUGAUUUAUUAUUAAUGUAAAUAAUCAAAUAUGUCAUAUUAACUAAUUCUUUAAGUGGUUCUACUAUGUGACUUGUUAAUAGUAGAUAAAAAUAGGACCCUAAAUUAAUAGAUUAGAUAUACAAAUUUGAAAUAAUUAAAAAUACAUGUAAUUUCUAACUUAUUAUGUAUUUCAAAAAAAUAAAUUUUGCAAAAGUUAUAUUCUUAAGUUUGGCACUUAUGAAAUUAUGUGAUUGAAGUUUAUAUGUGAUUUAAGUUUAUUUAACGACAUAGUGUGUUCAUAAUGGCAGGUAUCUCUUAGUAUAACAAAGAUUCAAUCAAGUUAGAGCAAAUUAACAUAUUGCACGAAAAUAAGGUGUAAAAAGAGAUCGUACCUAAUCUAUCUACUUAAGAAAACAGGAACCAAACACAUACAUAUUCUUUGUGUGAUGAUAUUAUGUCAACGAGAAACUUAUAAAUCAACUUAGAGAAAAGUAUCAUCUUUAGUAAAAGAGGUCCAAAUCAAAGUUAUUGUAUUGCUAAUAUAAUUGUAUAUAUACAGUCGGUCUACAUUAAUAGAUUACAUAGAACGUAAUUCGUUUGUUAUACUUAUAAUAGAGUACAUCCAAAAUUAAAUUAAAUCGUGUCAAUAUAUUAGUUCACUUUUAAUAGAUUUAAAUGUUGGUUUAAUGGAAGUUGUCCGGUUCCAUUGUAAUAGCAGUGUGUUAUAUAAUAAUUAGAUUGUAACAAUUUUGAAAUGAUCCAUAAAUUAAGCAGCUUUCUAACAAACUUAAAAUAGUCCAAAACUUAAAUGAACAUUAAUGGUAGAUAAAUUUAGGACUCUAUUUUAAUAGAGUAGAUGGGUUCCAUUUUUAUUGAUGAAUAUUAAUAGUUUAGCAAAAAAAAAUUUGAUUGAAGAAAAUGAUUGCUCAACUUCAAAAUUAAAUAUUCGGAUUCAAAAACUUAAAUUUAAAAUUUAGAUAAAAAAACUACUAAGUAUUUGACCAAGACUGUCUAGGAUGUUAAUACUUAAUACAUUUAAUAAGGGUGAUGAUUGGUUCAACUGUGGCUCUAAAAAUUUAGCUGUAAAAGUUUAGCGGUAGAUCAAUUGAUUUUUUUUGCAGAGACUUUUUAUGUAGUUAAAUUUGUUGUAGCUGUAAAUUAUAGGCAGUAGAUAUUUUAAAAUAAAAUAUGUGAAAUCUGCGAUGUAUAUAUAAAUAAUUAUUUUUAUCAAUUAAAUAAUUUAUAUUAAUUUUUUUAUAAAUUCUCAAAGUUAUUGUUAUUUAAAAUGUGAUAUGUAAAUAAUAUAUAUUUUAUUUAAAAUAUUUCAAUAAUUUUUACAACACCCAAAAUUGAAUUAAAUAUUUAUAGAUGUUUUUAAUUAUGAUUAUCUAAUUUAUUUCAUAUUAUAGAUAAUUUUUUUUAUUUCACAGAUUCUACAGCCUAUAAAAGAAAGCUUUAGGUUUUUUACCUAAAAUACAUUAAAAACAUUUUUGCUUUAGUUUUUUUGCUGUAGCUUUAAAAAUAUAGGUAAAGCAUGAUUGGUAAAAGUUUAUAGAAACUUGAUUUAGGCUUUAACUAUUAAAAAUAAAGUUACAACAUGAUUGGUAAAGUUUAAUGAUUUAAAAGUAAACAAAGCUAAAUUAAGAAGAUAAAUCCCAACCAAUCAUCCCCAAGAUUUUGAAUAGCUGCUAGGAUGUUAAUGCAUUUACCUAGGCAUGAUACUAAAUAUAGGUGAAGUCAAGUGUUUGACCAAAAAUAUGAUAGAAAUGGAUUUAUUUCUUUUCUUAACAAAGCUGAGUCUAGUGGACAAAAAAAAAAAACAAAGCUGAGUCUCGUCAAUUAGAUUAUAAAUAAGUCUCAUUUUGACAGAAAUACUGAAAUGUUUUUUUUGAAAAGGAUAAAGAAGACUUGUUUAUCAAACAGUGUAAAAUUAAAUCAUUAAGAUCGACAUCUCUUACGUAUUUCUUUUAGAAACGUAACUAUGGCAACCAAGAAGUUUUUAUCUCUCAUAUCCUUGAUGGUGUUGGUUUCCAUCUAUCUACCCAUGGUUUCAGGUACAAAAAUUGAAUUGCUCGAAAUAUGAUUUAUCUUUAUAUGUCUAUAGUAUCAUGGUGCAUAGGAGACUCAAUAAUAUUUUCUUUCAAAAUAGGACUUCAUCACCACUUAAAAAGAAGAUAUUAUGGUUAUAUUUUAAUUAAAAACAUGAUAUUUAUAAAUUAGAAAUAAAAAUGUAUACUUAAAAAUAAAAUAUUAAUAAAUUUUAAAUAAAUUCAGCAUGCUUACAUGGAAAAACCCUAACUGGUUUACAAAUAAUAAUAUUACCAUUUUCUUUCUUCAAUUUAAAAAUAGAAGGAAAAAAAGGUAU
Brassica rapa (field mustard) is the source of this 2616-nucleotide long non-coding RNA. RefSeq lists it as uncharacterized. The record is from RefSeq and is a predicted model, not a curated record. NCBI's taxonomy places the organism in Eukaryota, Viridiplantae, Streptophyta, Magnoliopsida, Brassicales, Brassicaceae.